UGAGGACCAGGGCUGGGCUUUACCUGCCUCUGAAGGGGCUUGGAGCAGAGGCAGGGGAGGUGGAAGAAUAGGAACCUGGGGCAGUGUCCUUCCCAGGCAGGAGGACACAGAAGAGCAGGCCCCUGCCAACAUCAAGUUGAAACAGCUGUAAAAGUGGCCUGGGCACAAAGCUGGCAACUGAAGAUAAGGCUCAGGACACAGCGAGCGGUCACCCUGAGGCUCUCCUGGGAGCAGGGAGUGGCUGUCUCCGGCCAUGGUCCACAAAGGCACCAACCACUCCCCUUUGCAGGUGUGAAGCAGCAGCUGGGGACAGUUCAGCCCGGCUUAGGCAUGACCUCUGUUUUCAUCUGCCUGCGAGGCACCAAGGAGGACCUGCAUCUGCCGUCCACCAACUACUAUGUUUACUAUGACACGGACAUGGACCAGGCCCUACGAGUGGUUUGAGGAGUGGCAGGUGGAACUGAAGGGAAAGUAGGGCAGUGACUAUGAGACCUUCAAAAACUUCUUUGUGGAAGCCUCUAUGUCAGUGGUCCUGAAACUGUUCCCACAGCUGGAGGGGAAGGUGUGGAGAGUGUGACUGCAGGAUCCCCACU
Molecule: long non-coding RNA, 593 nt
Filed under: Homo sapiens (human)
Lineage: Eukaryota; Metazoa; Chordata; Mammalia; Primates; Hominidae
Description: non-protein coding lnc-TCF7L1-1:2
Source: RNAcentral